RNAcentral lists this ribosomal RNA (640 nucleotides) under Prodinychus sp. AL7170. RNAcentral describes it as "eukaryotic LSU rRNA". It matches the Rfam family "Eukaryotic large subunit ribosomal RNA", at positions 656 to 1265 of the family's 3401-position model. Lineage: Eukaryota; Metazoa; Arthropoda; Arachnida; Mesostigmata; Urodinychidae. The record is from RNAcentral.
GAAACACGGACCAAGAAGUCUAACAUAUACGCGAGUCAUUGAGAUUCCUGUACCUCAAAGGCGAAAUGAAAUGUGAAGGUGCACUUUAUUGUGUGCUGUCACGCGAUCUUUAUUCGUAUACGAAUAGAGCGCAGCGUGGGCCCGUACAAUCCUCGUGAUAGUACGGAGUUUGAGCGUAUAUGUUAGGACCCGAAAGAUUGUGAGCUAUGCCUGGGCAAGACGAAGCCACAGGAAACUGUGGUGGAGGUUUGAAGCGUUUCUGACGUGCAAAUCGAUCGUCUGACCUGGGUAUAGGGGCGAAAGACCAAUCGAACAAUCUAGUAGCUGGUUCCUUCCGAAGUUUCUCUCAGGAUAGCUGGCGUUCAAAUACAGUAUCAUCUGGUAAAGCGAAUGAUUAGAGGAAUUGGGGACGUAACGUCCUCAACCUAUUCUCAAACUUUUAAUGGGUGAGAAGUAUUGCUCUCUUUGUUGGAGUAUAUACGUUGUAUGAGAAUGCCUAGUGGGCCAUUUUUGGUAAGCAGAACUGGCGAUGUGGGAUGAACCAAACGUUGAGAUAAGGUGCCCGAUGCGAAACGCUCAUGAGACCCCAUAAAAGGUGUUGGUUGCUUAAGACAGCAGGACGGUGGCCAUGGAAGUCGGA